CAAAAGUGAAAGACGGUCUUGCUGUCACUUAUAGAUGGAUCCGCGCUGCAUUAGCUAGUUGGUAAGGUAACGGCUUACCAAGGCAACGAUGCAUAGCCGACCUGAGAGGGUGAUCGGCCACACUGGAACUGAGACACGGUCCAGACUCCUACGGGAGGCAGCAGUAGGGAAUCUUCCGCAAUGGGCGAAAGCCUGACGGAGCAACGCCGCGUGAGUGAUGAAGGUCUUCGGAUCGUAAAACUCUGUUAUUAGGGAAGAACAUAUGUGUAAGUAACUGUGCACAUCUUGACGGUACCUAAUCAGAAAGCCACGGCUAACUACGUGCCAGCAGCCGCGGUAAUACGUAGGUGGCAAGCGUUAUCCGGAAUUAUUGGGCGUAAAGCGCGCGUAGGCGGUUUUUUAAGUCUGAUGUGAAAGCCCACGGCUCAACCGUGGAGGGUCAUUGGAAACUGGAAAACUUGAGUGCAGAAGAGGAAAGUGGAAUUCCAUGUGUAGCGGUGAAAUGCGCAGAGAUAUGGAGGAACACCAGUGGCGAAGGCGACUUUCUGGUCUGUAACUGACGCUGAUGUGCGAAAGCGUGGGGAUCAAACAGGAUUAGAUACCCUGGUAGUCCACGCCGUAAACGAUGAGUGCUAAGUGUUAGGGGGUUUCCGCCCCUUAGUGCUGCAGCUAACGCAUUAAGCACUCCGCCUGGGGAGUACGACCGCAAGGUUGAAACUCAAAGGAAUUGACGGGGACCCGCACAAGCGGUGGAGCAUGUGGUUUAAUUCGAAGCAACGCGAAGAACCUUACCAAAUCUUGACAUCCUUUGACAACUCUAGAGAUAGAGCCUUCCCCUUCGGGGGACAAAGUGACAGGUGGUGCAUGGUUGUCGUCAGCUCGUGUCGUGAGAUGUUGGGUUAAGUCCCGCAACGAGCGCAACCCUUAAGCUUAGUUGCCAUCAUUAAGUUGGGCACUCUAAGUUGACUGCCGGUGACAAACCGGAGGAAGGUGGGGAUGACGUCAAAUCAUCAUGCCCCUUAUGAUUUGGGCUACACACGUGCUACAAUGGACAAUACAAAGGGCAGCGAAACCGCGAGGUCAAGCAAAUCCCAUAAAGUUGUUCUCAGUUCGGAUUGUAGUCUGCAACUCGACUACAUGAAGCUGGAAUCGCUAGUAAUCGUAGAUCAGCAUGCUACGGUGAAUACGUUCCCGGGUCUUGUACACACCGCCCGUCACACCACGAGAGUUUGUAACACCCGAAGCCGGUGGAGUAACCUUUUAGGAGCUAGCCGUCGAAGGUGGGACAAAUGAUUGGGGUGAAGUCGUAACAAGGUAGCCGUAUCGGAAGGUGCGGCUGGAUCACCU
RNAcentral lists this ribosomal RNA (1347 nucleotides) under Staphylococcus aureus. RNAcentral's name for it is "bacterial SSU rRNA". It matches the Rfam family "Bacterial small subunit ribosomal RNA", at positions 195 to 1528 of the family's 1533-position model. The record is from RNAcentral. Lineage: Bacteria; Bacillati; Bacillota; Bacilli; Caryophanales; Staphylococcaceae.